RNAcentral lists this ribosomal RNA (497 nucleotides) under uncultured bacterium. Its description in RNAcentral is "partial 16S ribosomal RNA". It matches the Rfam family "Bacterial small subunit ribosomal RNA", at positions 28 to 523 of the family's 1533-position model. The record is from RNAcentral.
GAUGAACGCUGGCGGCGUGCUUAACACAUGCAAGUCGAACGAAGCACUUUAUUUGAUUUCCUUCGGGACUGAUUAUUUUGUGACUGAGUGGCGGACGGGUUAGUAACGCGUGGGUAACCUGCCUUGUACAGGGGGAUAACAGUUGGAAACGGCUGCUAAUACCGCAUAAGCGCACAGCAUCGCGUGAUGCAGUGUGAAAAACUCCGGUGGUAUAAGAUGGACCUGCGUUGGAUAAGCUAGUUGGUGAGGUAACGGCCCACCAAGGCAACGCUCCAUAGCGGACCGGAGAGGGUGACCGGCCACAAUGGGACUGAGAAACAGCCCCAACUCCUACGGGAGGCAGCAGUGGGUAAUAUUGCACAAUGAGGGAAAGCUUGAUGCAGCGACGCCGCGUGAGCGAAGAAGUAUUUCGGUAUGUAACGCUCUAUCAGCAGGGAAGAUAAUGACGGUACCUGACUAAGAAGCACCGGCUAAAUACGUGCCAGCCGCCGCAGUAA